Molecule: ribosomal RNA, 257 nt
Filed under: uncultured Actinomyces sp.
Lineage: Bacteria; Bacillati; Actinomycetota; Actinomycetes; Actinomycetales; Actinomycetaceae
Description: partial 16S ribosomal RNA
Rfam family: Bacterial small subunit ribosomal RNA
Source: RNAcentral
ACCACACGGCGUGACGGGUAGCUGGCGUGAGAGCGCGAUCAGCCACACUGGGACUGAGACACGGCCCAGACUCCUACGGGAGGCAGCAGUGGGGAAUCUUGCCAAUGGGCGAAAGCCUGAUGCAGCGACGCCGCGUGGGGGAGGAAGGCCUUAGGGUUGUAAACCCCUGUCAGGAGGGAAGAAACUCGGGUCGGCGAACAGCCGGUUCGAUUGACGGUACCGCCAGAGGAAGCUCCGGCUAACUACGUGCCAGCAGC